AGAGUUUGAUCCUGGCUCAGGACGAACGCUGGCGGCGUGCCUAAUACAUGCAAGUCGAGCGGACGGAUGGGAGCUUGCUCCCUGAAGUCAGCGGCGGACGGGUGAGUAACACGUGGGCAACCUGCCUGUAAGACUGGGAUAACUCCGGGAAACCGGGGCUAAUACCGGAUAACUCUUUCCCUCACAUGAGGGAAAGCUGAAAGAUGGUUUCGGCUAUCACUUACAGAUGGGCCCGCGGCGCAUUAGCUAGUUGGUGAGGUAACGGCUCACCAAGGCCACGAUGCGUAGCCGACCUGAGAGGGUGAUCGGCCACACUGGGACUGAGACACGGCCCAGACUCCUACGGGAGGCAGCAGUAGGGAAUCUUCCGCAAUGGACGAAAGUCUGACGGAGCAACGCCGCGUGAGUGAUGAAGGUUUUCGGAUCGUAAAACUCUGUUGUCAGGGAAGAACAAGUACCGGAGUAACUGCUGGUACCUUGACGGUACCUGACCAGAAAGCCACGGCUAACUACGUGCCAGCAGCCGCGGUAAUACGUAGGUGGCAAGCGUUGUCCGGAAUUAUUGGGCGUAAAGCGCGCGCAGGCGGUUCCUUAAGUCUGAUGUGAAAGCCCCCGGCUCAACCGGGGGAGGGUCAUUGG
This 639-nucleotide ribosomal RNA is filed under the name uncultured marine bacterium. Its description in RNAcentral is "bacterial SSU rRNA". It matches the Rfam family "Bacterial small subunit ribosomal RNA", at positions 8 to 629 of the family's 1533-position model. The record is from RNAcentral.